CUUCACCGACCCGAGCAGCAGCGGCCCGCCGACGCGGUCCUGGCCGUAGGUGGCUAGCAGCGCCUGUGCCUC
RNAcentral lists this antisense RNA (72 nucleotides) under Actinoplanes awajinensis subsp. mycoplanecinus. Its description in RNAcentral is "ASpks TB sRNA". It matches the Rfam family "ASpks TB sRNA". The record is from Rfam by way of RNAcentral. Lineage: Bacteria; Bacillati; Actinomycetota; Actinomycetes; Micromonosporales; Micromonosporaceae.